GACGAACGCUGGCGGCGUGCUUAACACAUGCAAGUCGAACGGAAAGGCCCUGCUUGCAGGGUACUCGAGUGGCGAACGGGUGAGUAACACGUGGGUGAUCUGCCCUGCACUUCGGGAUAAGCCUGGGAAACUGGGUCUAAUACCGGAUAGGAGCCAUUUUUAGUGUGAUGGUUGGAAAGUUUUUUUCGGUGUAGGAUGAGCUCGCGGCCUAUCAGCUUGUUGGUGGGGUAAUGGCCUACCAAGGCGGCGACGGGUAGCCGGCCUGAGAGGGUGGACGGCCACAUUGGGACUGAGAUACGGCCCAGACUCCGACGGGAGGCAGCAGUGGGGAAUAUUGCACAAUGGGCGCAAGCCUGAUGCAGCGACGCCGCGUGGGGGAUGACGGCCUUCGGGUUGUAAACUCCUUUCGCUAGGGACGAAGCUUUUUGUGACGGUACCUAGAUAAGAAGCACCGGCUAACUACGUG
RNAcentral lists this ribosomal RNA (466 nucleotides) under uncultured bacterium. RNAcentral's name for it is "partial 16S ribosomal RNA". It matches the Rfam family "Bacterial small subunit ribosomal RNA", at positions 28 to 507 of the family's 1533-position model. The record is from RNAcentral.